UGCCAGCAGCCGCGGUAAGACGAACCGUACGAACGUUAUUCGGAAUCACUGGGCUUAAAGAGUUCGUAGGCGGCCGUGUAGGUGGGAUGUGAAAGCCCUCGUCCCAACCGAGGAAUUGCGUUCCAAACCACAUGGCUUGAGGAAGAUAGAGGUGAGCGGAACUGAUGGUGGAGCGGUGAAAUGCGUUGAUAUUAUCAGGAACACCAGAGGCGAAGGCGGCUCACUGGGUCUUUUCUGACGCUGAGGAACGAAAGCUAGGGGAGCAAACGGGAUUAGAUA
This 279-nucleotide ribosomal RNA is filed under the name uncultured bacterium. RNAcentral describes it as "partial 16S ribosomal RNA". It matches the Rfam family "Bacterial small subunit ribosomal RNA", at positions 506 to 784 of the family's 1533-position model. The record is from RNAcentral.